GAGUAACACGUGGGUAACCUACCUAUAAGACUGGGAUAACUUCGGGAAACCGGAGCUAAUACCGGAUAACAUUUGGAACCGCAUGGUUCUAAAGUGAAAGAUGGUUUUGCUAUCACUUAUAGAUGGACCCGCGCCGUAUUAGCUAGUUGGUAAGGUAACGGCUUACCAAGGCGACGAUACGUAGCCGACCUGAGAGGGUGAUCGGCCACACUGGAACUGAGACACGGUCCAGACUCCUACGGGAGGCAGCAGUAGGGAAUCUUCCGCAAUGGGCGAAAGCCUGACGGAGCAACGCCGCGUGAGUGAUGAAGGGUUUCGGCUCGUAAAACUCUGUUAUUAGGGAAGAACAAAUGUGUAAGUAACUGUGCACAUCUUGACGGUACCUAAUCAGAAAGCCACGGCUAACUACGUGCCAGCAGCCGCGGUAAUACGUAGGUGGCAAGCGUUAUCCGGAAUUAUUGGGCGUAAAGCGCGCGUAGGCGGUUUCUUAAGUCUGAUGUGAAAGCCCACGGCUCAACCGUGGAGGGUCAUUGGAAACUGGGAAACUUGAGUGCAGAAGAGGAAAGUGGAAUUCCAUGUGUAGCGGUGAAAUGCGCAGAGAUAUGGAGGAACACCAGUGGCGAAGGCGACUUUCUGGUCUGUAACUGACGCUGAUGUGCGAAAGCGUGGGGAUCAAACAGGAUUAGAUACCCUGGUAGUCCACGCCGUAAACGAUGAGUGCUAAGUGUUAGGGGGUUUCCGCCCCUUAGUGCUGCAGCUAACGCAUUAAGCACUCCGCCUGGGGAGUACGACCGCAAGGUUGAAACUCAAAGGAAUUGACGGGGACCCGCACAAGCGGUGGAGCAUGUGGUUUAAUUCGAAGCAACGCGAAGAACCUUACCAAAUCUUGACAUCCUUUGAAAACUCUAGAGAUAGAGCCUUCCCCUUCGGGGGACAAAGUGACAGGUGGUGCAUGGUUGUCGUCAGCUCGUGUCGUGAGAUGUUGGGUUAAGUCCCGCAACGAGCGCAACCCUUAAGCUUAGUUGCCAUCAUUAAGUUGGGCACUCUAGGUUGACUGCCGGUGACAAACCGGAGGAAGGUGGGGAUGACGUCAAAUCAUCAUGCCCCUUAUGAUUUGGGCUACACACGUGCUACAAUGGACAAUACAAAGGGCAGCUAAACCGCGAGGUCAUGCAAAUCCCAUAAAGUUGUUCUCAGUUCGGAUUGUAGUCUGCAACUCGACUACAUGAAGCUGGAAUCGCUAGUAAUCGUAGAUCAGCAUGCUACGGUGAAUACGUUCCCGGGUCUUGU
This 1290-nucleotide ribosomal RNA is filed under the name Staphylococcus pseudoxylosus. RNAcentral describes it as "bacterial SSU rRNA". It matches the Rfam family "Bacterial small subunit ribosomal RNA", at positions 108 to 1384 of the family's 1533-position model. The record is from RNAcentral. Lineage: Bacteria; Bacillati; Bacillota; Bacilli; Caryophanales; Staphylococcaceae.